This 420-nucleotide ribosomal RNA is filed under the name Theileria sinensis. RNAcentral describes it as "SSU rRNA". It matches the Rfam family "Eukaryotic small subunit ribosomal RNA", at positions 440 to 901 of the family's 1831-position model. Lineage: Eukaryota; Apicomplexa; Aconoidasida; Piroplasmida; Theileriidae. The record is from RNAcentral.
AUUACCCAAUCCUGACACAGGGAGGUAGUGACAAGAAAUAACAAUACGGGGCUUAAUGUCUUGUAAUUGGAAUGAUGGGAAUUUAAACCUCUUCCAGAGUAUCAAUUGGAGGGCAAGUCUGGUGCCAGCAGCCGCGGUAAUUCCAGCUCCAAUAGCGUAUAUUAAAAUUGUUGCAGUUAAAAAGCUCGUAGUUGAAUUUCUGCUGCAUCGUCGCAUCUCUUGCUGAGUGCUUCGUUUCGGCUUAUUUCGGAUUGAUUUUUCUUUCCGGAUGAUUACUUUGAGAAAAUUAGAGUGCUCAAAGCAGGCUUUUGCCUUGAAUAGUUUAGCAUGGAAUAAUAAAGUAGGACUUUGGUUCUAUUUUGUUGGUUUUAGGUACCAAAGUAAUGGUUAAUAGGAACAGUUGGGGGCAUUCGUAUUUAA